CCUGUCAGUCAGGAAAGGUCCGCAACCUCCCGGCUGUUCUGCUUUUCUCCUCCCUGCCCUCCCAAGUGGGUGCCAGCGGUCGGGAUGCAGCCACAGUGACUAGAGCCGCAUUGUUCGGCCAGGGGCUAGCCUCCCUGGAGGCUGAGCUCUGCGACCAGCUCUGAAGCUGUCAGGUCUCACCUUCUCCCCGGGUCCCGUCCCAGCCACCCCUCAUCACAAGUGAUGUGACCUUCAGACUGAAUACUGGUAAUGCUGCAGGACAGCAGCCGGGAGCCUCCUGACGGGAACCAGCCUGCACCAGGCCAUCACCAGGGAGCUAGAUUGGAAGUGGAAAGACAGGACACAAACUGGCACUACAUGGAUGCUGGCAUCUCAGACAGCAGCUUUGCCCACUAUGCCACAAUUCUGGCUCACUCUUACUCCUUGAAAAUCAUGAUUAUGGGGCUGGCAUUGAGAACCUGACAUGAAGGGCCUAUUCAGGUACUGAUUCAGUGGAAGAACAGCCAAACCUAACAGCAAUGGUGGGAACAGAAGUUCUAAAUGAUGCAAGGAAUCAGUGUGGAAAAUCCCUGGGCAUCCGUAAGUACAGGAAGUUUCCUGCUUAACUCCCCACUUGUCUGUAUGUUCCACCAUCCCUGGAUCAAGUAUAAAUCAGAAGCAGAACUUGAAACUUUCCAAAGCAAAACUUGAACUUGGGUUGAGAAAACUCAGCUGGGUGUGGGAGGGUGGCUCCUCACCGUGAAGGCUGCUUUGAUU
This is a long non-coding RNA of Ochotona princeps (American pika), 756 nucleotides long. RefSeq lists it as uncharacterized. Lineage: Eukaryota; Metazoa; Chordata; Mammalia; Lagomorpha; Ochotonidae. The record is from RefSeq and is a predicted model, not a curated record. The transcript has 3 exons.